RNAcentral lists this ribosomal RNA (366 nucleotides) under uncultured organism. Its description in RNAcentral is "bacterial LSU rRNA". It matches the Rfam family "Bacterial large subunit ribosomal RNA", at positions 2099 to 2465 of the family's 2925-position model. The record is from RNAcentral.
CUUUACUGCAACUUGACGUUAGAACUUGGCUGUAUUUGUGUAGGAUAGGUGGGAGACUUUGAAGCAGGGCCGCCAGGUCUUGCGGAGUCGUCGUUGAAAUACCACCCUGGUGCUGACGAGUUUCUAACCGUGUCCGUAAGCCGGACAUGAGACAGCGUCUGGUGGGCAGUUUGACUGGGGCGGUCGCCUCCUAAAAGGUAACAGAGGCAUUCAAAGGUCCCCUCAGCGUGGUCAGUAAUCACGCACAGAGUGCAAACGCAUAAGGGGGCUUAACUGCGAGACCGACAGGUCGAGCAAGUACGAAAGUAAGAGUUAGUGAUCCCGCAGUUUAGCGUAGAAUUGCCGUUGCUCAAUAGAUAAAAAGUA